Molecule: transfer RNA, 55 nt
Filed under: Ovis aries (sheep)
Lineage: Eukaryota; Metazoa; Chordata; Mammalia; Artiodactyla; Bovidae
Rfam family: tRNA
About the family: Transfer RNA (tRNA) molecules are approximately 80 nucleotides in length.
Source: Rfam by way of RNAcentral
UAGCUAAGAGGUUAAAGCGUCUGCCUGGAAUGCAGAAGACAGGGGUUCGAUCCCU